UUUCGAAUUAUUCACAAUGGGCGAAAGCCUGAUGGUGCAACGCCGCGUGAGGGAAGACGGUCUUCGGAUUGUAAACCUCUGUCACUGGGGACAAAACCCCGGGUUCAUAGCCCGGCUUGAUUUAACUCGGAGCGGAAGUAGUGGCAAACUCUGUGCCAGCAGCCGCGGUCAUACAGAGACUACGAACGUUACUCGGAUUCACUGGGCGUAAAGGGUGCGCAGGCGGUUGGGUGUGUUAGGUGUGAAAUCUCGGGGCUUAACCCCGAAACUGCGCUCGAAACUAUCCAACUUGAGUUUUGGAGAGGUAAGCGGAAUUCUAGGUGUAGCGGUGAAAUGCGUAGAUAUCUAGAGGAACACCAAUGGCGAAGGCAGCUUACUGGCCAAAAACUGACGCUCAUGCACGAAAGCGUGGGGAGCAAACA
Molecule: ribosomal RNA, 422 nt
Filed under: uncultured prokaryote
Description: bacterial SSU rRNA
Rfam family: Bacterial small subunit ribosomal RNA
Source: RNAcentral